AUCCUACUUGAUCUAUGAGGUGGAGGUACCAUAUCUACUGGCUCACUACUAGGUUCAGGUUCUUGGACUUGAUCCUCUUCAGCGACUUUUUCUUCGAGCUCAAUCUUCCUCCUACUACCUCCAUUCUGGAUAAACUUCUUUUUCAAGAAGACGUUAUGAUGGCUCACAAUCACAUUGUGAUCCUCAGAAAGAUAAAAAUAGU
RNAcentral lists this long non-coding RNA (202 nucleotides) under Elaeis guineensis (African oil palm). RNAcentral's name for it is "long non-coding RNA (EGUI_LNC076352)". Lineage: Eukaryota; Viridiplantae; Streptophyta; Magnoliopsida; Arecales; Arecaceae. The record is from RNAcentral.